Long non-coding RNA from Mangifera indica (mango), 2543 nucleotides. RefSeq lists it as uncharacterized. The transcript is spliced from 2 exons. NCBI's taxonomy places the organism in Eukaryota, Viridiplantae, Streptophyta, Magnoliopsida, Sapindales, Anacardiaceae. The record is from RefSeq and is a predicted model, not a curated record.
UUGAGGAAUGUACCGCUGCAGAAUUAGAUAUUCCUACCUCCAGUUCAUGGCUAGCGCUAAACCCCAACAAGAGAUAUCAAAGUUGAUUUCCUCUUGAACAAUCUCUUCAAUGUCAAGCUUUCUCGUUGGUUUUCUAGCUGAUUCAAAUCAAAGCCUCAAGAGAACAAUUUGUUGCUCAUGAACACUAUAGACUUGUAUGGUUUUGAAUGCCUGGGUGGGAGGACAAGAGAGGAACCCUAACUUGAACCAGAUCGCCCUCUCAGGGUUGGAACGACCACACCAAAUAUAUGAAACCUCAAACCACCACUCUCUUAGGUAAGUCCAAGAGUUUAUGUUGAUAUGUCAUUAAUAGGUUUUGAACCCAUGCUUCCUUGCUUGGGCAGCCCCCACCAGUUAAUUCCAUACUCUAUAUUGCUAGCAAAUCUUUGGAUGAUACUUUUUAGCUAUGUUGGCAAUUAUCUCUCGACCCAGUAUUUCUUCAUAGUUUGGGAGCUUCAUAUACAUUUUUAUCAUGGAAGAUGAACAUGGUAAGCCACUUCAAAACAUUACCCAUAUAGUGUAUAAAAAAUCAAAUAUUUACAGUCUUUCUAUUGGUUUCUUAUGCCAGUUUUACUUAUACAAUAAAAGUAUGUAUACAAACAACGAUGUGUCACCAUAUGAUUGAAUAUUGUUUUAUCUUUAAUUUUCAAUCAUAUAAUCACAUGAUAAUACGUUGUUAUUUGUGUAUAAAGAUUAUGCACAUAACACUGCUCUUAUCUAUAUAUGCUAUUUUCAGUAGGCAUAGCAUACAACUUUCCUUCUUACCCAUAUCUGCUUUUCAUUUUGCCAUGUUUCAUCAGACCUAUCGUGUUUGGUUUUCCUUUCCAGUACACAUUAAGCAAGUCAGCCUCAUUUCAUAAUGUCUAUGCUUACAUUGUUUUAGGUAAAGUUGCUUUUCCAAAACAUAAUUGUUCUGCAACUUUUGCCUUUUAGUCAUGUACUCUAUUUGGCAAAUUGUUUCCUUAUCUAUUUAAAUUAUAUUAACUUAAUUUAUAGGAAUAAUUUAACUAGAGUUAAAUUCGAGUCCAACCAAGCUCGAACUUAGAUCAACUUGAGUUUAGGUCAACUUGAGGAGAGCUAAGCUCAAACUCCUCUCAAAAUUGUUUUAGUUUGACUCAUUAGAGGAAAUCGAACUCGAGUUCGAUAGAGUGUCAAGUCGGUUUGAUCACAAUAAAAAAAUUGAUCAGUCUAAACUGUAAUCCAAACCAACUUAAAUUACAAUUUUCCAAUUUAGUUCGAUGCACAAAAUGGUUAAAUUUAGUUUGAGAUUUUUUUGAAGCUUUUUUUUUUUUGUUUGGUUUAAAAUAAAUCUUAAAGUGGACAAAAGCGAAUACGAAUAUUUGCAAAUUAUGGUCUUCUCUUUAUUUUUUCAUAUUAAAAUUUAUCCCUUAAUUUUCAUCUUUCUCAUAAUUGCCUUAUUUAGAUAAUCUAUCAAUAUACAAAUUUAUCUUUAUUUGGAUAUUAAACAUUUUCUGCUGUUUUGUGUAUAUAGCUUAGUAAGAUUUGUAAAUCUCUCAUGCAAUGCUAAUCGUUCUCACAGGUUGACCAUGGUAAGUGAAUUUUCUUAUCUAUAAGUCAGUGUUUCCAUGAACAAACAGUGUCUAGGUUUUGUAGAUUUAGUAUGAGGCGUUUAAGGAGACUUGAUGGAAAUGCCAGAAAGAUUUACCCGUCAUAACCUCAGAAUGUUAAGGACUUCUACCUCAGUCUCACAGGGAUUGAAUGCCACUGAGAUUUGAAAUAUAUAGUACGAGUGCUGAGAGAGGCAUAGGGUGCACCCCGGGCAAUACAAGUGAGUCAGUCAUAACACAGUUGACAAAUGUGGUUCUGGAGGGGAUGUAAGGGGAACAAGACAUGAAACCAGUGGGAAGACAUGCUCAGUUGCAUUCAAUGUACAGGCUACCUAGCAUGAAUCAACCCCUAGGAUUUUCAAGCAUCAGUGAUCCCUCUCUAACAGAGGAGUGGUUAGAGCAAUGGAGAGUGUUAUGUCAUUGUUUUUUUUUUUUCUUUAAUGAGAAACCCUUUUCUAAUCGGAUCGUCAUUUCCUGGAUCAAAUUAAUCAUAUUGAAUUGACAAAUUCUGAAUCCAAUGAAUGUUAUAUCAUUGUUCCCAAUGUCAUAUUCUAAGAAAGUCAAAUAUGUCGGUUAUUUGUUGAAUGUUAAGGCGUGGUGGAGGAUUGCCAUAUAGACACAACAGGUGGUGAGCAUUACCGGGGCUGAUUUCAAGAGACUCCUUGAAGCAAAGCAUGAGCCAAUAGAUAUGACAUAUUCAGAGCUCAAAAGCUUAUAAAUCUACAGCAGGGUAACAGUAUAGUUAAAGAAUAAUCCAUCAGGUUUAAUGUCUUAGCAACAAAAUGCACCCGGGAUAGUCAACACCAUUUAGGGGAGAAUGGAGAAAUUCAUUUAUUUGCUUAACCCCGAGAUCGCAAUUUGAAUUUAUGUGUGACUCUGGUUAAAUUACUCUAUUCUAAUGUAAUUUUGAUUAAAAUCAUAAUAUUUUGAUGUAAA